GCUUAAUUUUGUGGUUUUCGACUAACUGAGUGGCUGAAGAUGAUGCUUUCUUGGUCAAGCAAAUUGGCCAGAGUUUCCGGUAUUCUAAAAUAGAGGCAAGAAGGGAGGAACAAAUCCAAGCUGCUCAUGACGAAGCCAUGUUUGGUGCUUCAGCACUUCCACCUCCUACCAGUAUUGACAGUGAGCCUGAAAGGGAGAAUGAGAAAGAAGUUGAUAAAAAAGCUAUUGUUACAAGCCUCUUAAGUGAAACGGAGUGCUAAAAUGGUGACCACAUGCUACUUUGAGGGCUCAAGAAUAUUUUGAUUCAUAGAGACACUAAUCUAUGUUAGAACUUUUAACUUUUGGUUGAACUUGUGCAAGACAUAUAACUUGUAGAAC
Non-coding RNA from Arachis ipaensis, 378 nucleotides. The record is from RefSeq and is a predicted model, not a curated record. Lineage: Eukaryota; Viridiplantae; Streptophyta; Magnoliopsida; Fabales; Fabaceae.